This 494-nucleotide ribosomal RNA is filed under the name uncultured bacterium. RNAcentral's name for it is "partial 16S ribosomal RNA". It matches the Rfam family "Bacterial small subunit ribosomal RNA", at positions 28 to 507 of the family's 1533-position model. The record is from RNAcentral.
GACGAACGCUGGCGGCGCGCUUAACACAUGCAAGUCGAACGGAAAGGCCUGCUUUCCCUUGUGGAUUGCGGGUACUCGAGUGGCGAACGGGUGAGUAACACGUGAGUGAUCUGCCCCCAACUUGGGUAUAAGCCUGGGAAACUGGGUCUAAUUCCCGAUAGGACUGCAGGGUGGUGCCUGUGGUGGAAAACGAUUUUCUAGUGGUUGGGGAUGAGCUCGCGGCCUAUCAGCUUGUUGGUGGGGUAAUGGCCUACCAAGGCGGCGACGGGUAGCCGGCCGGGGAGGGUGGACGGCCACAGUGGGACUGAGAUACGGCCCAGACGCCUACGGGAGGCAGCAGUGGGGAAUAUUGCACAAUGGGCGGAAGCCUGAUGCAGCGACGCCGCGUGGGGGAUGACGGCCUUCGGGUUGUAAACUCCUUUCGACCGCGAGGAAGCCACCUGGUUGGAAGGGUGGUGACGGUAGUGGUAGAAGAAGCACCGGCUAACUACGUG